RNAcentral lists this long non-coding RNA (3029 nucleotides) under Homo sapiens (human). Its description in RNAcentral is "long intergenic non-protein coding RNA 664". The record is from RNAcentral. Lineage: Eukaryota; Metazoa; Chordata; Mammalia; Primates; Hominidae.
GUGUGUCCUGGCCGUUUGAGGCUCUGGCCGAUUUCUUUUCCCAAGUCCCCAUGGAGAAUCAGGGACCGUCCUGUGCCAUCUUCCGAGAGCCUGGAAGGGUCCGCCCGUGGGCUUUCCGAGCGCCGAAGGGGCCACAUGCUGCUCUGAGGGUGCCGCAGAGAUGCUGUCUCACCAUGUUGGCCCCGGAUAGUCUUGGACUCCUGGGUUCCAGGUAUCCUCCGUGGCCUCCAAAAGUGCUGGGAUUACAGGUCCUGCCUACAGAAGAUCUUGUGACAUAUCCCUGCACCCAUCACACAGGAUAUUGUGACAUUGCUGAGCCCAGCAUCUAGGUGAUGUGACUCUUCUCUACUGUUUGGUCUCUACCCAAAAAGGGAUUGUGACAUAUCACUCUGUCAAGAACCUAGAAGAGGUGACUCUCCUCUCCAGCCUGGGACCUCCAUACAGAGGGGAUUGUAGCAUAUUCCUAAUGGAGCACCAAGGUGAUGUGACACUGCUGCCUGGUCCCUGCCCUCAGAGAAGAUUGUGACAUAUCACUGCCCCGAAACCCAGGUGUGAUUGUUACAUACACCUCUGCCCAGCACCUGAGUGAUUUGACUCUUCUGCUUGGGCCCAGCGUACAGAUGGGAUUGUGCCGCAUUGCUGGACCCAGCACUUAGGUGAUGUGAUAUAAUUCUCCUCUUCUGCCUGGCCCUGCCAAAAAGUGGGAGAUUAUGGCAAAUCACUGAACCCAGCACCUAGGGACCUUGUGACAUAUAUCUGCACCCAUGACCUAGAAGAUGUGACAUUUAUUUUUUGCCUGCACCCUGCCCUGCACAGGAAUGAUUGUGACAUAUCCUUGGAACCAGACACCAGAAUUGUAACAUAUCCCUGGCUGAGCACUCAGGUGAUGUGACACUCCUGCUUGGCUUCUUCCCUCAGCAGAUUAUGAGAUAUCCAUGGCUGAAAUCCAGGGGGAAUUGUGACAUAUCACUUGGCCCAGUACCAAGCAAGUGUGACUGUUCUAUUCAUCAUAAGUCCUGCUUUCAAGGGAGAUUGGGACAUAUUGUGGGGCUCAACACCAAUGUGACAUUACUGUUUUGCCUUGGCCCAGACCUUAAAGGCACUGUGACGUAUUGCUCGGCUCAGCAACAAGGUGACGAGAGAUCCUGUGUGGACAUUGACAACAGAGAGCAUUGUGACAUAUCUUUGGGAGCAUCAGCUAUUUGAUGUGACUCUCCUUUUAUACCAAGGCUUUGCUCAUAGGGGAGACCGUGAUGUAUCUUCUGGCCCAGAAAUCAGGCGAUGUGUUUCUCCUGCCUGAGCUUUGCUCACAGGGAGCAUUGUGACAUAUCACUGAGCCCAGCACCCAGGUGAUGGGACUCUACUGCCUGUCCCCUGCUUUCAGGAGGAAAUUGUAACAUAUCUCUGACCAAGCACCCAGGUGAUAAGUCUUCUGCCUGGUGCCUGUUCUCAGGGAAGAUUGUGACAUAUCCCUGGCCCAGCAACCAGAUGAUGCAGAUGACGUAUCUCUCCUGCUCACUCUCUAUCCACAGGUUCUGCCCACAAAGGAGAUUGUGGCAUACUGCUGGGCCUAACACUAAGGUGAUGUUACUUCUCUGCUUUGGCUAUGUCCUUAGAAGGCAUUGAGACACACUGCUGGGCCCAGCACCAAGAUGAUGUGAGUCCUCUGCCUGAACCCUGACCACAGGGAGCAUUGUGACAUAUUUCUUGACCCACUGCAAUCUCUCCUAUGGACAAAGCCCAGGUUGGAUUGUGACAUAUACUUUAGCCCAGCUCACAGUUGUGAUAAUGACACUCAUACUGACAAAUCAGUCAGUAGGAGAGAUACUGGCACUUGUAGCUAAACUUAGAGAAACAGGUUAUGUAACUCUCCUUGCUGGGUCCUGCCUACAGGAAGCUUUAUGAUCUAUCUGUGUAUUCAUCAUCCAGGUGUUAUGACUCUCGUCUUUUCACUGGAACCUGCCAAAAAGGGUGAUUGUGACAUAUCACUGGACCCAGCACCUUGGUGAUGUGACUCUCCUCUCCUCCUUAGGCCCUGCUUACAUUGUGUCUGUUGAAAUACGGCUGGUCCAACACCUAGGUAAUGUGACUCUCCUGCAUAGGCCUUGCUAAUAGGGGAUGUAUGACAUAUGUUUUGUUUAUCACUUAAGUGAUGUUACUCUCCUUUUCUUCCUGAAUCCUGUAAAAGGUGGGGGAUUGUGACCCUAUCACUGGACCCAGCACAUAAGUAAUAUGAGUUUCCUGCAUAGGCUCUGUUCAGAAGGGUAUUAUGACAUAUCUUUUUGUUCAUCACUUUGUGACUUGUCUUUUGACUGGAACCUGCCAAAAAGGGUGAUUGUGACAUAUUGCUGGACCCAGCACCUAGGUGAUGUGGCUCUCCUUUUUUUCUGGGCCUCACAUAUUUUGGGUAUUGUGAUGUAUAGCUGGGCUCAACACCUAGCAGUUGGGGAGCUCCUUUCUUGACCAUUCCCACAAAUGACAUAUCUCUGCUAUGACCGCCUAUGACACAUGACCUAAAUAUGUGACCCUUCUUUUCUGCCUGUACCCUGCUAACAGAGAAGAUUGUGACAAAUUGCUAAGUGCAUUGUAUCUUGUGCUAACCUUCUAUCUCAGCCUGUGACCAAGAAUGCCUAACUGCCGGGGAAUGCAGCCCUGUAGGUCUCAACCUCAAUUUGCCCAGCCACUAUUCAAAAUAGAGUCACUCUGGUUUAAAUGCCUCUGACAUUAAGAUACACUGUAAAAUUAUGAAAAAAGUUGAUUUGAAUUUUAGCAAAUGAGAAAUGAAAUAAUUAGAAUGGGCUAUUCUGAAAGAUAUAGCAUUAGUUAUAUUUGUGUUUGAGUUUUCUAUUAACCUAUAUUUGUUACUUAUGAAUAGAUACCUUGUUUUAUUCUGUCUAAACAGAUACACUAGGUGGGGUGCGGUGGCCAUGCCUGUAAUCCCAGCACUUUGGGAGGCCGAGGGGAGUGGAUCACCUGAGGUCAGGAAUUUGGGACAAGCCUGACCAACAUGGCAAAACCCUGUCUCUACU